AAUGUACUGUUGAAACUGCACUUGCAAUAGCUCAGGGAUUAAAUGUGUAGUUAUGCUAGUUUACACUGACAGAGAGGCGAGUUUCAGUCAUCCGGCCCACUGAAGACCAAUGUGGGUUGUAAGUGAUCCAUGAUGUAAAAUGAGCUUGACAUCCCCUCCUUAAACUGACGCAGCUGAUCUAACAUUUUCGGAAACGAAAUGAUUUGCUUUCAUGCAAGUGAAUCCAAAUUAAUCCAAUGCAUCAGCCUGCUUUAAUAAACGGAAAAGUCCUCCAAAUAUCAGCCAAUAAAUUAAGCUGACAAAACAUUAGGUUUUUCAAAGUAAGGUCAAAUAUCUACACUCGCAAAAUGAUUACACUAGUUUAGCAUAAACACUGGAAGCAGUGAGGGAAAAAGUACUUUGCCUGUCUGAAAGUUAAAAAAAAUAAAUAAAUAAAUGCCUUCCAGCACAUCCGGAGGCUCAGAAACAAGCACCUUUUGUUCAGUAAUUCCAUAUAAAAACCAAACUGCAAAGGUGCCAAGUUAGAAAUUUCAGUUUAUAUUGAUUUCUUUUUUUCUUUUUUUUGAAGCAGGGUAUUUUGUGUAUGGGAGCAGUUACUUGCUCGGGUAAAUUACAUUUGUUGUAGGUGUGAGAGAAACAUUUUUAUAUGGAUUUUCUGAAGUCUUUCUGAAUCUCUCCAGCUCACGCUUUUCCAACAGAAAUAUUGAUGAUUCUGCAGUGGUUGGAUGUAUAACUAAUGGGCGAGAGUAGGAUUGAAUGAUUUUGUGGAGUGAAGUGGUCUGGAAGGGAGAGUUAUCGGCCUCUGAAUGUGAAAAAGGUCAGAGAGAUGGUGAGGAUCUCUAUAUUUACCUGAAGGUACCUGAACGUCUACAUCGAUCACAGGCCGAACUGGAAGACAAAUCCUGAGUCCUUUCAGUGUGUGCCAUAAGAUGUUGUGAGUGCUGUGCACUUUGCUGUGGUCUGCUGAGGGAGCACCAUUAGAGUUGAUCACACCAACAGACUGACUAGACUGAUCAGGAAGGCUGGCGCUGUGAUACUGAAGCUGUGGUGGAGAGGAGUUCACUGAUCAAGCUGUUGUCCAUCACAGACC
Long non-coding RNA from Astatotilapia calliptera (eastern happy), 1090 nucleotides. The record is from Ensembl. NCBI's taxonomy places the organism in Eukaryota, Metazoa, Chordata, Actinopteri, Cichliformes, Cichlidae.